Molecule: ribosomal RNA, 468 nt
Filed under: uncultured bacterium
Lineage: Bacteria
Description: partial 16S ribosomal RNA
Rfam family: Bacterial small subunit ribosomal RNA
Source: RNAcentral
GACGAACGCUGGCGGCGUGCUUAACACAUGCAAGUCGAACGGAAAGGCCCUGCUUUUGUGGGGUGCUCGAGUGGCGAACGGGUGAGUAACACGUGAGUAACCUGCCCUUGACUUUGGGAUAACUUCAGGAAACUGGGGCUAAUACCGGAUAGGAGCUCCUGCUGCAUGGUGGGGGUUGGAAAGUUUCGGCGGUUGGGGAUGGACUCGCGGCUUAUCAGCUUGUUGGUGGGGUAGUGGCUUACCAAGGCUUUGACGGGUAGCCGGCCUGAGAGGGUGACCGGCCACAUUGGGACUAAGAUACUGCCCAGACUCCUACGGGAGGCAGCAGUGGGGAAUAUUGCACGAUGGGCGGAAGCCUGAUGCAGCAACGCCGCGUGCGGGAUGACGGCCUUCGGGUUGUAAACCGCUUUCGCCUGUGACGAAGCGUGAGUGACGGUAAUGGGUAAAGAAGCACCGGCUAACUACGUG